UGAGGUUUAUUUGACAUUGUUCUCCCCAGAC
This 31-nucleotide non-coding RNA is filed under the name Homo sapiens (human). Lineage: Eukaryota; Metazoa; Chordata; Mammalia; Primates; Hominidae. The record is from RNAcentral.